CUUCCGUUGCCAAUCCUUCCCUCCUAUAUCUUUGCUCUGACUCAGUCUUCUUCGAGGGGUCUCAAGCUCAUUCAUCAGACAACUACCACGACACAAGCUGCGAUCUGAAGAAAAUCCUUCCUUGUACCGUCUCAACAAACAACUCGGACCUAGUGAACGUCCAGGAUGGCCUCCACUAUGAUAUGUUCUAAUACAUUGAGCAAGGCAAAUUGUAAAGAGAUGACCCAGGGAUAAUAAUCUUGUUCAGCAGUGACAACGACAUCCAUCAAUGUUUGGGAUUGCCAGCAGUGGCCGCCUUGAUGUUGGGGCCAGGGAUACCAGUGCUCCAACAAGGGAUCACCGCAGCAGGGUCCAAACAAAAUCUCAGUGAUUGGCUGGACACAGUUGUAGUCCAGCAUUCCCCGGGUUCUUUAGUGCGCGAUGCGAACGGUAGGCGUAUCAGCGGCUUGUUUCAUCAGAUGGCAAGAAAUGUCCAUUCGGACGUCCUCCAAGUAUUCUCAUCCACAACCAUGCUGAAUUGGGGGGUUGAGUGCUUGGGCAUUAACUUGACUUUGGGAAAGCUUCUGACCGCGGAUGGGAUUGGGGUCAUUAAAGUUCACCCACCACGUAAUGGGUCCAUUCAUCUGACUCGAACUCUGAAUUGAUAUAGAACUUUAUAUAGUAUGCAAUAUUGUUCAUUUGAUCUCGAAUAUGGACUCGAACUCUGAAUUGAUAUAGAGUAUUCUCAAAUGUGGACUCGAACUAUGAAUUGAUAUAGUUAUAGUAUGCAAUAUUGUUCGUCAUAGGCGCGAGUGACUCCCCUAAACAAUGACUCCCGGUCACUCCUACCUAGUCACCAGUGACUCAUGCCUAGGAGUAAAU
Halichondria panicea is the source of this 861-nucleotide long non-coding RNA. RefSeq lists it as uncharacterized. Lineage: Eukaryota; Metazoa; Porifera; Demospongiae; Suberitida; Halichondriidae. The transcript is spliced from 5 exons. The record is from RefSeq and is a predicted model, not a curated record.